Molecule: transfer RNA, 71 nt
Filed under: Decemunciger sp. AB-2017
Lineage: Eukaryota; Metazoa; Annelida; Polychaeta; Terebellida; Ampharetidae
Description: tRNA-Val
Source: RNAcentral
AAAACAAAGCAAUCCGACGAUGCGCCUCAUUUACAGUGAUGAUUAGGGUUGUUUAACUCAACCUGUUUUUA